UGACGGUAUCAUAUGAAUAGGCACCGGCUAACUCCGUGCCAGCAGCCGCGGUAAUACAGGGGGUGCAAGCGUUACUCGGAAUCACUGGGCGUAAAGAGCAUGUAGGCGGGUGAAUAAGUUGGAAGUGAAAUCCUAUAGCUUAACUAUAGAACUGCUUCCAAAACUGUUCACCUAGAGUAUGGGAGAGGUAGAUGGAAUUUCUGGUGUAGGGGUAAAAUCCGUAGAGAUCAGAAGGAAUACCGAUUGCGAAGGCGAUCUACUGGAACAUUACUGACGCUCAGAUGCGAAAGCGUGGGGAGCAAACAGGAUUAGAUACCCUGGUAGUCCACGCCCUAAACGAUGUACACUAGUUGUUGCUAUACUAGAUAUGGCAGUAAUGCAGUUAACACUUUAAGUGUACCGCCUGGGGAGUACGGUCGCAAGAUUAAAACUCAAAGGAAUAGACGGGGACCCGCACAAGCGGUGGAGCAUGUGGUUUAAUUCGACGAUACGCGAAAAACCUUACCUGGCCUUGACAUAGUAGGAAUCUUUAAGAGAUUAGAGAGUGCUAGCUUGCUAGAACCUACAUACAGGUGCUGCACGGCUGUCGUCAGC
This 594-nucleotide ribosomal RNA is filed under the name uncultured bacterium. RNAcentral describes it as "bacterial SSU rRNA". It matches the Rfam family "Bacterial small subunit ribosomal RNA", at positions 470 to 1059 of the family's 1533-position model. The record is from RNAcentral.